AGUCACUGACAUUAGACUACCCGUAGUCCAGGGUGUAAACGCUGCAGACUUGGUGUUGGGAACCCGUUCGGGGGUGCUCAGUGCCGGAGAGAAGUUGUUAAGUCUGCUACUUGGGAGUACGUCCGCAAGGAUGAAACUUAAAGGAAUUGGCGGGGGAGCACCGCAACGGGAGGAGCGUGCGGUUUAAUUGGAUUCAACACCGUAAACUCACCAGGGAAGACUGUUACAUGAAGGCCGAGAUGAAGACUCUGCUAGAUUUUCAG
Molecule: ribosomal RNA, 263 nt
Filed under: uncultured archaeon
Lineage: Archaea
Description: partial 16S ribosomal RNA
Rfam family: Archaeal small subunit ribosomal RNA
Source: RNAcentral